CUGCAACCUCUGCCUCCUGGGUUCAAGCGAUUCUCCUGCCUCAGCCUCCCAGGUGGGAAUGAUGGUUAGAUGCUGCUGAGCGUAUGAAGAAGUGUGUGAAGGCGAUGUUGGCAAAGUCAUCAAGCUGGACAGAGAUAGAUUGCAUGAUCUCAAUGUGCAGUGUGACUGGCAGCAGAAAGGGGUACCUACUGGGUUAGGUACAUUCAUGUGGAACUUAUAGGCUAUCCUCCACCAAGUUCUUCUUACGUCAAGAUUGGUGAUAAAGUGCGGGUCAAAGCCUCUGUUGCCACACCGAAAUACCAGUGGGGAUCUGUGACUCAUCAGAGUGUGGGGGUUGUGAAAGCUUUCAGUGCCAAUGGAAAAGAUACCAUUGUCGACUCCCCAGCAGACUCACUGGACUGGGUUGCUGUCAGAAAUAGAGUUGGUCCCCAGUAUUCAUCCUGGGGUUACGUGUGAUGGAUGUCAGAUGUUUCCUAUCAAUGGAUCCAGAAUCAAAUGCAGAAACUGUGAUGACUUUGAUUUUUGUGAAACGUGUUUCAAGACCACAAAACACAAUACCAGGCAUACAUUUGGCAGAACAAAUGAACCAGCACUGGAUUCGUUUGGAGAUUUUCCCAGAUGUUCUUGUUCAUAGGUUAAAAAUGAUCGUAGAUCCUGCUGACAGUAGCUACAUGCCAUCCCUGGUUGUAGUGUCAGGUGGAAAUUCCCUGAAUAACCUUAUUGAACUAAAGACAAUCAAUAUUAACCCUUCUGACAUCACAGUGCCCCUUCUGAAUGACUGCACAGAG
Piliocolobus tephrosceles (Ugandan red Colobus) is the source of this 788-nucleotide long non-coding RNA. RefSeq lists it as uncharacterized. NCBI's taxonomy places the organism in Eukaryota, Metazoa, Chordata, Mammalia, Primates, Cercopithecidae. The transcript is spliced from 7 exons. The record is from RefSeq and is a predicted model, not a curated record.